This 1371-nucleotide long non-coding RNA is filed under the name Nicotiana benthamiana. RNAcentral describes it as "long non-coding RNA (NBEN_LNC034534)". The record is from RNAcentral. Lineage: Eukaryota; Viridiplantae; Streptophyta; Magnoliopsida; Solanales; Solanaceae.
CUACAAGAUGGACGAAAAAUAAAGUUACUCCAUACAGGAAGAAAUGGUGAAUGGCUCUACUGAAUGAUAUGACAAGCUGCUUUAAGCAAGUUUCCGUUCAAACAAGAGAGCUCAAGUUACUAAACCACAAAAGCUAAUUUGCAAGUGAAAAACACCAUGCUAUAAUAUCCAAAUAUAACUAGCCAAUAAUCCUAUUACCAGCAGAUGGACGAAAAAUAAAGUUACUCCAUACAGGAAGAAAUGGUGAAUGGCUAUAGUGAAUGAUACGGCAAGCUGCUUGAAGCAAGUUGGACAGAUGACAAGAUGGCAACGAAAAGAAGAUUUAAGAUGUUAUGCUUUAGGCAAUACUAUUGGAUAAACAUGUUCUUACUGGAAAUAGAUGCAUUUAGUAAACCCUCAACACUUUGAAAUUUGAACUUGUGGUAUGUCAUUUAACUCACUUACGGUAAAUGGUCUCAAAAAAAUCAUACUUUUUACUAUUCAACUUCAAGAUCGUGUAUAAAAUGUUAGCUAAUGCUUUGUUUUUUUUAAUCUGUUUUACAAUUUUGAAGUAACGUGUUUCCUGAUUUAUCAUAUUGAUUUUUCAGCAGAUAACUUUUUCAUUUUGAAGAGAACUUUCCAACAACUACUUUUAAGUAACCCUUGAACUAUUUAAAUGUCACGAUCGCCAUAGAUAUGUCUUAAACAACUAAGUAAAAUUUAACGUUACUGUUUUUUUUUUCUUUUGGGGACAAGAUUUUGCUUUGAUUAUUAUUUCACACUCUUCGUACUUUUAACAAUAAGAAGUUGUAAUUACUUUUUAUUAAGUUUAUACAUAAAGAAAUUUUAUUUCAGAAAUAUCCAACGUCCAAGUUCACACCGCCAUUUAGUGCCUUGAUUCUCGUACAUGAACUCUGCCACUCCUGAGACAAAGUAUGUUUUUUCUUACAAUUGAACCAAUAGACGUGGCAGUUGCUUACCCUUCCAUUAAUUUGAGUUCAGAGUUCUGUUUAAUUUUUGCUAUAAGUAUUAAUUAAUCCGAGUUUACAAGAUCAUCCGAGUUCUUCUGGGCAUUCUAAUGGAACUUCUUCUAAACUCUUUUUGUGCAAAGUGCAAGGACCACCUUGGGCCUACAUUUGCUGCACGACUUAAACCUGAUCCAAAAGAAAUAGAAAAUACAUAUGCUCACAGUUUACUAGAACUUCUUGGACUGGGAUAAGGUCAAAUGGAGCUUCUUCUAAACUCUUUUUGUGCAAGUGCAAGGAGCACCUUGGGCGUACAUUUGCUGCACGACUUGAACCCUGAUCAAAAGAAAUACAAGGCACAUAUGCUCACAGUUUACUAGAACUUAUUGGACUGGGAAAAGGAACCUAAGUUGCGGAGUUUCAAUGC